AUUGAACGCUGGCGGCAGGCCUAACACAUGCAAGUCGAGCGAGCGGCUGACGGGUGAGUAAUGUAUGGGGACUGCCCGAUAGAGGGGGAUAACUACUGGAAACGGUAGCUAAUACCGCAUACUAUCGGAUAACCCAUAUGGGAUUAGCUCUUAGGUGAGGUAAUGGCUCACCUAGGCGACGAUCCCUAGCUGGUCUGAGAGGAUGAUCAGCCCCAUUGGGACUGAGACACGGCCCAGACUCCUCCGGAGGCAGCAGUGGGGAAUAUUGCACAAUGGGCGCAAGCCUGAUGCAGCCAUGCCGGGUGUAGGAAGAAGGCCCUAGGGUUGUAAAGUACUUUCAGUCGGGAGGCGUUACCGACAGAAGAAGCAACGGCUAACUCCGUGCCAGCAGCCGCGGUAAUAC
This 403-nucleotide ribosomal RNA is filed under the name uncultured bacterium. RNAcentral describes it as "partial 16S ribosomal RNA". It matches the Rfam family "Bacterial small subunit ribosomal RNA", at positions 30 to 526 of the family's 1533-position model. The record is from RNAcentral.